RNAcentral lists this ribosomal RNA (497 nucleotides) under uncultured bacterium. RNAcentral's name for it is "partial 16S ribosomal RNA". It matches the Rfam family "Bacterial small subunit ribosomal RNA", at positions 28 to 507 of the family's 1533-position model. The record is from RNAcentral.
GAUGAACGCUGGCGGCGUGCCUAAUACAUGCAAGUCGAGCGAACGGACGAGAAGCUUGCUUUUCUGAUGUUAGCGGCGGACGGGUGAGUAACACGUGGAUAACCUACCUAUAAGACUGGGAUAACUUCGGGAAACCGGAGCUAAUACCGGAUAAUAUUUUGAACCGCAUGGUUCAAAAGUGAAAGACGGUCUUGCUGUCACUUAUAGAUGGAUCCGCGCUGCAUUAGCUAGUUGGUAAGGUAACGGCUUACCAAGGCAACGAUGCAUAGCCGACCUGAGAGGGUGAUCGGCCACACUGGAACUGAGACACGGUCCAGACUCCUACGGGAGGCAGCAGUAGGGAAUCUUCCGCAAAGGGCGAAAGCCUGACGGAGCAACGCCGCGUGAGUGAUGAAGGUCUUCGGAUCGUAAAACUCUGUUAUUAGGGAAGAACAUAUGUGUAAGUAACUGUGCACAUCUUGACGGUACCUAAUCAGAAAGCCACGACUAACUACGUG